GGUCACAUCACUUUGAAACACUGAUUGCCAUAUGAUCACCAAAGUUAGGCAACAUCGAGUCUGGUCAGUACCUAUAUGGGUGACCACGUGGGAAUGCCAGGUGCUGUAGG
This is a non-coding RNA of Acanthosepion pharaonis, 110 nucleotides long. NCBI's taxonomy places the organism in Eukaryota, Metazoa, Mollusca, Cephalopoda, Sepiida, Sepiidae. The record is from the annotation of a GenBank genome assembly.